AUUGAACGCUGGCGGCGUGCCUAACACAUGCAAGUCGAGCGGUAAGGCCCUUUCGGGGGUACACGAGCGGCGAACGGGUGAGUAACACGUGGGUGACCUGCCCUCAGCUCUGGGAUAAGCCUGGGAAACCGGGUCUAAUACUGGAUAUGACUCCAUGACGCAUGUUGUGGGGUGGAAAGCCUUGUGCGGCUGAGGAUGGGCCCGCGGCCUAUCAGCUUGUUGGUGGGGUGAUGGCCUACCAAGGCGACGACGGGUAGCCGGCCUGAGAGGGCGACCGGCCACACUGGGACUGAGACACGGCCCAGACUCCUACGGGAGGCAGCAGUGGGGAAUCUUGCGCAAUGGGCGCAAGCCUGACGAAGCAACGCCGCGUAGAGGAUGAAGGCCCUCGCGGUCGUAAACUCUUGUCUAGCGGGACGAAACCUCCAUAAGUGAAUAACUUAUGGAAUUGACUGUACCGCUGGAGGAAGCUCCGGCCAACUCCGUGCCA
This 490-nucleotide ribosomal RNA is filed under the name uncultured bacterium. RNAcentral's name for it is "bacterial SSU rRNA". It matches the Rfam family "Bacterial small subunit ribosomal RNA", at positions 28 to 510 of the family's 1533-position model. The record is from RNAcentral.